This 484-nucleotide ribosomal RNA is filed under the name uncultured bacterium. RNAcentral's name for it is "bacterial SSU rRNA". It matches the Rfam family "Bacterial small subunit ribosomal RNA", at positions 33 to 507 of the family's 1533-position model. The record is from RNAcentral.
GACGACGCUGGCGGCGUGCUUAAUACAUGCAAGUCGAGCGAGGCCUUGGAAUUGGAGCCUUCGGGAUGAAGAGUCCUUGGCCUAGCGGCGGACGGGUGAGUAACGCGUGGGCAACCUACCCCAAAGUCCGGGAUAACAGUGGGAAACCGCUGCUAAUACCGGAUGGCUUUACCUGAGGGCAUCCUUGGGUAAAGAAAGGUUACGCUUUGGGAUGGGCCCGCGUCCCAUUAGCUAGUUGGUGAGGUAACGGCUCACCAAGGCGACGAUGGGUAGCCGGCCUGAGAGGGUGAACGGCCACACUGGGACUGAGACACGGCCCAGACUCCUACGGGAGGCAGCAGUAGGGAAUAUUGCGCAAUGGGCGGAAGCCUGACGCAGCGACGCCGCGUGAGCGAAGAAGGCCUUCGGGUCGUAAAGCUCUGUCCUUGGGGAAGAAGGCGAAAGCUUGACGGUACCCAAGAAGAAAGCCCCGGCUAACUACGUG